UGCCAGCAGCCGCGGUAAGACGGAGGAUGCAAGUGUUAUCCGGAAUCACUGGGCGUAAAGCGUCUGUAGGUGGUUUAAUAAGUCAACUGUUAAAUCUUGAGGCUCAACUUCAAAAUGGCAGUCGAAACUAUUAGACUAGAGUAUAGUAGGGGUAAAGGGAAUUUCCAGUGGAGCGGUGAAAUGCGUAGAGAUUGGAAAGAACACCAAUGGCGAAAGCACUUUACUGGGCUAUUACUGACACUGAGAGACGAAAGCUAGGGUAGCAAAUGGGAUUAGAUACCCCAGUAGUCCUAGCCGUAAACGAUGGAUACUAUAUGUUGAACAGAUCGACCUGUGCAGUAUCAAAGCUAAACGCGUUAAGUAUCCCGCCUGGGAAGUAUGCUCGCAAGAGUGAAACUCAA
This 401-nucleotide ribosomal RNA is filed under the name uncultured bacterium. RNAcentral describes it as "bacterial SSU rRNA". It matches the Rfam family "Bacterial small subunit ribosomal RNA", at positions 506 to 904 of the family's 1533-position model. The record is from RNAcentral.